GAAGGGCGUUUGGUGGAUGCCUUGGCAGUAAGAGGCGAUGAAAGACGUGAUACUCUGCGAUAAGCCAUGGGGAGCUGAGAAUAAGCUUUGAUCCAUGGAUCUCUGAAUGGGGGAACCCACCUGAAAGUUCUCUAUUACUACUUCGGUAGCUAAUAGGGUUCUUAACCAGGUACUUUUGACCUGAAUACAUAGGGUCUUAAGAGCAAACCCGGGGAACUGAAACAUCUAAGUACCCGGAGGAAAGGAAAUCAAUUGAUACUCCCCUAGUAGCGGCGAGCGAACGGGGACCAGCCAAGCCUGAUGAGUGACUAGAACCGUUUGGGAAGACGGGCCAUAGUGGGUGACAGCCCCGUAUAGGAAGCUCUGAAGGAUGUAUUAAGUAGGGCGGGACACGUGAAAUCCUGUCUGAAGAUCGGAGGACCACCUUCGAAGGCUAAGUACUCCUUACUGACCGAUAGCGAACCAGUACCGUGAGGGAAAGGUGAAAAGCACCCCGACGAGGGGAGUGAAACAGUACCUGAAACCGAACGCCUACAAUCAGUUGGAGGCCCCUUGAGGGCUGACAGCGUACCUUUUGUAUAAUGGGUCAUCGACUUGGUCUAUCUAGCAAGCUUAAGCCGUUAGGUGUAGGCGCAGCGAAAGCGAGUCUUAAUAGGGCGCAUGAGUUAGAUGGAUCAGACCCGAAACCGAGUGAUCUAGGCAUGGCCAGGUUGAAGGUGCGGUAACACGCACUGGAGGACCGAACCCACAUCUGUUGAAAAAGAUCGGGAUGAGCUGUGCCUAGGGGUGAAAGGCCAAUCAAACUCGGAGAUAGCUGGUUCUCUGCGAAAUCUAUUUAGGUAGAGCGUCAUCUGAAUACCCCGGGGGGUAGAGCACUGGAUGGGUAAUGGGGCCCCACAGGCUUACUGAUCCUAACCAAACUCCGAAUACCCGGGAGUACUAGAUGGCAGACACACUGCGGAUGCUAACGUCCGUAGUGGAGAGGGAAACAACCCUGACCUACGACUAAGGCCCCUAAUUCAUGGCUAAGUGGGAAAGCAGGUGGGACGACCAAAACAACCAGGAGGUUGGCUUAGAAGCAGCCAUCCUUUAAAGAUAGCGUAACAGCUCACUGGUCUAAAUAAGUUGUCCUGCGGCGAAGAUGUAACGGGGCUCAAGCCAUGAGCCGAAGUCUAGGAUGCACAUAGUGCAUGGUAGCAGAGCGUAGUGUGACAUAGUACUCAUCCUCUUCUAUCGCGUUGUUAUGCGAGCGUUUAGCGCGCUCAAGUAGCGAAGCGGUAGCGCAGGAUAGAGUGCUUUCGAUGAAGCGGGCGCGUGAGCGAUCCCGUGGAGAGAUCACUAGUGAGAAUGAUGACAUGAGUAGCGACAAAGAGUGUGAGAGACACUCUCGCCGAAAGUCCAAGGGUUCCUGCUUAAAGCUAAUCUGAGCAGGGUAAGCCGGCCCCUAAGCCGAGGCCGAAAGGCGUAGGCGAUGGGAACUAGGUUAAUAUUCCUAGGCCAGGAGGAU
Molecule: ribosomal RNA, 1507 nt
Filed under: Shimia marina
Lineage: Bacteria; Pseudomonadati; Pseudomonadota; Alphaproteobacteria; Rhodobacterales; Roseobacteraceae
Description: bacterial LSU rRNA
Rfam family: Bacterial large subunit ribosomal RNA
Source: RNAcentral